AGAGUUUGAUCAUGGCUCAGAGCGAACGCUGGCGGCAGGCUUAACACAUGCAAGUCGAGCGGGCGUAGCAAUACGUCAGCGGCAGACGGGUGAGUAACGCGUGGGAACGUACCUUUUGGUUCGGAACAACACAGGGAAACUUGUGCUAAUACCGGAUAAGCCCUUACGGGGAAAGAUUUAUCGCCGAAAGAUCGGCCCGCGUCUGAUUAGCUAGUUGGUGAGGUAACGGCUCACCAAGGCGACGAUCAGUAGCUGGUCUGAGAGGAUGAUCAGCCACAUUGGGACUGAGACACGGCCCAAACUCCUACGGGAGGCAGCAGUGGGGAAUAUUGGACAAUGGGGGCAACCCUGAUCCAGCCAUGCCGCGUGAGUGAUGAAGGCCCUAGGGUUGUAAAGCUCUUUUGUGCGGGAAGAUAAUGACGGUACCGCAAGAAUAAGCCCCGGCUAACUUCGUGCCAGCAGCCGCGGUAAUACGAAGGGGGCUAGCGUUGCUCGGAAUCACUGGGCGUAAAGGGUGCGUAGGCGGGUCUUUAAGUCAGGGGUGAAAUCCUGGAGCUCAACUCCAGAACUGCCUUUGAUACUGAGGAUCUUGAGUCCGGGAGAGGUGAGUGGAACUGCGAGUGUAGAGGUGAAAUUCGUAGAUAUUCGCAAGAACACCAGUGGCGAAGGCGGCUCACUGGCCCGGUACUGACGCUGAGGCACGAAAGCGUGGGGAGCAAACAGGAUUAGAUACCCUGGUAGUCCACGCCGUAAACGAUGAAUGCCAGCCGUUAGUGGGUUUACUCACUAGUGGCGCAGCUAACGCUUUAAGCAUUCCGCCUGGGGAGUACGGUCGCAAGAUUAAAACUCAAAGGAAUUGACGG
This 863-nucleotide ribosomal RNA is filed under the name uncultured bacterium. RNAcentral's name for it is "bacterial SSU rRNA". It matches the Rfam family "Bacterial small subunit ribosomal RNA", at positions 8 to 916 of the family's 1533-position model. The record is from RNAcentral.